UGUCUUUGUUAAAUUCCAGUCCACAGACA
This 29-nucleotide non-coding RNA is filed under the name Rattus norvegicus (Norway rat). The record is from RNAcentral. Lineage: Eukaryota; Metazoa; Chordata; Mammalia; Rodentia; Muridae.